This 514-nucleotide ribosomal RNA is filed under the name Microbacterium paraoxydans. RNAcentral describes it as "bacterial SSU rRNA". It matches the Rfam family "Bacterial small subunit ribosomal RNA", at positions 261 to 787 of the family's 1533-position model. The record is from RNAcentral. Lineage: Bacteria; Bacillati; Actinomycetota; Actinomycetes; Micrococcales; Microbacteriaceae.
UGGCUCACCAAGGCGUCGACGGGUAGCCGGCCUGAGAGGGUGACCGGCCACACUGGGACUGAGACACGGCCCAGACUCCUACGGGAGGCAGCAGUGGGGAAUAUUGCACAAUGGGCGAAAGCCUGAUGCAGCAACGCCGCGUGAGGGAUGACGGCCUUCGGGUUGUAAACCUCUUUUAGCAGGGAAGAAGCGAGAGUGACGGUACCUGCAGAAAAAGCACCGGCUAACUACGUGCCAGCAGCCGCGGUAAUACGUAGGGUGCAAGCGUUAUCCGGAAUUAUUGGGCGUAAAGAGCUCGUAGGCGGUUUGUCGCGUCUGCUGUGAAAUCUGGGGGCUCAACCCCCAGCCUGCAGUGGGUACGGGCAGACUAGAGUGCGGUAGGGGAGAUUGGAAUUCCUGGUGUAGCGGUGGAAUGCGCAGAUAUCAGGAGGAACACCGAUGGCGAAGGCAGAUCUCUGGGCCGUAACUGACGCUGAGGAGCGAAAGGGUGGGGAGCAAACAGGCUUAGAUACCC